AGGAUACAGUGACAGGUGGCUAUGGUACCACUUUACAUUCGUACAUCACAUCGCGCUGUGCUUCAAGUUGACUAGAUCCCCAAACAAGCAUAGCAGAUUAUCAUCGGAAACAUAUCGAGCGAAGGGUAUCAACUGCCAUCCCACGCUUGUUGUUGGCUAUAACUGCGCUGAGGAAAUCUCCUCAGCAGUGGCACAAAGGAGGCUGCUAAGUUUGGUCUGCCUGCUGUUAUUUCACUAACGCGUUUCUCCUUCGUUCUGGGUUCAAAUCCGGACAACCACUCCCGGUAUUUAUAGAGACGGUAUCCAGGCCAGGAUAUCUCACAAAGACAACUUUUACAGACAAAUCAUGGAUGCAAGCGCUUACAUUUUGUUAGCCUUACUUACAUUCUGUGGACUUGGAUGCGGUAUUUCAGAUUUGGGUGCUGCUGACGACACAGAAGGACUGAACGAAGAUUCGUUUGAAUCAAAGGAUUUUCCACUGCCAUCAGACUUAAAACGAGAAUGGAAAACAAUGUUUCCGGAUCAGAAGUACCGACAUGUUGGAAUAGGAAAACGGACUCUGGACUUCUUUCGCUUUCACAGUAAAAUCGGGAAACGUCUGGAUCUCCUUACCCUAAUUAAAAGCAAUCUACAUCAAUCAGGUGACAUUCUCAGGAAGAGCUACAGACCAAACCCAAAUGAAAGAUCGGCCUAUAGAUUUGGGUCACCCAUUGCGCCCGUAAGGAGGUCACUCCGGACCCGGAACUACGGUCUGCGCAUGGCUAAUAGUCGAAUGCCAGGUGUCUACCGAGGCGCACGGUCACAAGUUGAUCCAAUGAUGCUUCUGUUGGGAUUAGGGAAAUAGAAAUCGGAUCUCAGAAACAGUCAGUUUGACGAGUUAUUGAAGUAUCGUGUUCUCCAAGAACGUUCGAACAUUGGAAUGUCUACGGUACUGGUUAACCUGCGAGUCGGAUAUUAUAUAUUACAUAUUAUUACAUGUAUAAUCCUGUGUAUAAAACAUGCCCAAUCACGAGUUUGUUUAACUGAACUUAAGAAGGAAAUAUCUUGUCAAUUUGAUUUCGUAAUCACUCACUUCUUGAAAACUAAUGACAUCAUGAAUCUGCGUUAUAGGAGUAGGAAUGGUUUCGUUGCCAAAGAAACCGUCAAAUACUAUGUUUGCUCUACGUAC
Molecule: long non-coding RNA, 1168 nt
Organism: Haliotis rubra (blacklip abalone)
Lineage: Eukaryota; Metazoa; Mollusca; Gastropoda; Lepetellida; Haliotidae
Exons: 4
Source: RefSeq, a predicted model, not a curated record